AAAACAGAAAACCAAAAAAAAAGUGAAAUAAAAGCGCGGCAGAGGAUGUUUCCUGAAGUCCCUCCUGUUUCUGCAUACUUUCGUUCCCUUUGGCUUUUU
Molecule: non-coding RNA, 99 nt
Filed under: Palpitomonas bilix
Lineage: Eukaryota
Source: RNAcentral